Molecule: unclassified non-coding RNA, 408 nt
Filed under: plant metagenome
Description: partial contains internal transcribed spacer 2 and large subunit ribosomal RNA
Rfam family: 5.8S ribosomal RNA (bases 1-104)
Source: RNAcentral
GAAAUGCGAAACUAAAUGUGAAUUGCAUCUCUAGUGAAUCAUCAUGUCUUUGAACGCACUUUGCACCCAAAGAUUUAUCUUAGGGUAUACUUGUUUGAGUUUCGUUGUAAAAAGAUCUUAGAGAAAAAUCUUUAAGGAAUUGAAGGAAUCAAUAAAAUUUAUUUUUUGAUCCUUUGAAAUUUAUUAUUAUUUUUAAUAAAAUAAAAUAAAAUAAAAUAAGAAAUUUUUUAUUUCUAGAGAUAUAAAUAAAUUUUUUUUUUUUCUCUGGGGAAAGUUUUAAUAAAACUUUAACUCUAAGGGAAAAAUAUAUAUAUAUAUAAUUCUUAAAAAAUAAAAAUUUCUAAUAUAAAUUUAGAACUCAAAUCAAGUAAGAUUACCCGCUGAACUUAAGCAUAUCAAUAAGCGGAG